GGAUCAUCAGGUUGGUCGUGCCUCUGGUAUGUACUUUCCUCGAUGGUUCCUCCUUCUUGAAGAUCCGUAAUGUCAUUAAUUUGGUGUUGCGGGGAAUCAGGACUGUUACUUUGAAAAAAUUAGAGUGUUUAAAGCAGGCAAUCGCUUGAAUACAUUAGCAUGGAAUAAUGAAAUAGGACGUUCGAUCCUAUUUUGCUGGUUUCUAGGAUUGACGUA
Molecule: ribosomal RNA, 216 nt
Filed under: uncultured Glomus
Lineage: Eukaryota; Fungi; Glomeromycota; Glomeromycetes; Glomerales; Glomeraceae
Description: partial small subunit ribosomal RNA
Rfam family: Eukaryotic small subunit ribosomal RNA (bases 28-216)
Source: RNAcentral